UUAAUCUCUUAGGAACCUCCGCUC
RNAcentral lists this non-coding RNA (24 nucleotides) under Rattus norvegicus (Norway rat). The record is from RNAcentral. Lineage: Eukaryota; Metazoa; Chordata; Mammalia; Rodentia; Muridae.